CCUACGGGGUGCAGCAGUGAGGAAUAUUGGUCAAUGGACGAGAGUCUGAACCAGCCAAGUAGCGUGAAGGAUGACUGCCCUAUGGGUUGUAAACUUCUUUUAUAUGGGAAUAAAACAGGGUAUGCAUACCCUCUUGUAUGUACCAUAUGAAUAAGGAUCGGCUAACUCCGUGCCAGCAGCCGCGGUAAUACGGAGGAUCCGAGCGUUAUCCGGAUUUAUUGGGUUUAAAGGGAGCGUAGAUGGGUUGUUAAGUCAGUUGUGAAAGUUUGCGGCUCAACCGUAAAAUUGCAAUUGAUACUGGCAGUCUUGAGUACAGUUGAGGUAGGCGGAAUUCGUGGUGUAGCGGUGAAAUGCUUAGAUAUCACGAAGAACUCCGAUUGCGAAGGCAGCCUGCCGCAGCGUUACUGACGCUGAAGCUCGAAAGCGCGGGUAUCGAACAGGAUUAGAUACCCUUGUAGUC
This 460-nucleotide ribosomal RNA is filed under the name uncultured bacterium. RNAcentral's name for it is "partial 16S ribosomal RNA". It matches the Rfam family "Bacterial small subunit ribosomal RNA", at positions 338 to 795 of the family's 1533-position model. The record is from RNAcentral.